RNAcentral lists this non-coding RNA (148 nucleotides) under Homo sapiens (human). The record is from Rfam by way of RNAcentral. Lineage: Eukaryota; Metazoa; Chordata; Mammalia; Primates; Hominidae.
GCUGGGCAUGGUGGUGCAUGCCUGUAAUCCCAGCUUCUUAGGAGGCUGAGGCAGGAGAAUCACUCGAAUCCAGGAGGUGGAGUUUGCAGUGGGCUGAAAUCACACCACUGCACUCCAGCCUGGGCAACAGAGUGAGACUCCGUCUCAA